This 500-nucleotide ribosomal RNA is filed under the name Ablepharus pannonicus. Its description in RNAcentral is "partial large subunit ribosomal RNA". It matches the Rfam family "Bacterial large subunit ribosomal RNA", at positions 1849 to 2610 of the family's 2925-position model. Lineage: Eukaryota; Metazoa; Chordata; Lepidosauria; Squamata; Scincidae. The record is from RNAcentral.
AGCGUCCCGCCUGCCAGUGAAUAUUUUUAACGGCCGCGGUAUUCUAACCGUGCAAAGGUAGCGUAAUCACUUGUCUUCUAAAUAAAGACUAGUAUGAAUGGCUAAAUGAGGACAAACCUGUCUCCUGCAACAGAUCAGUGAAAUUGAUCUUUUGGUACAAAAGCCAGAAUAAUUUCAUAAGACGAGAAGACCCUGUGGAGCUUAAAAUUUACUGCUAAUUAAAGACUAACACUAAUUUUAAGUUGGGGCGACUUCGGAACGAAAUAGAACUUCCGAGCAAGGAGCCACCCCCUCCUAAUAAGGCCAACAAGCCAACACAACUGACCCAGUCACACUGAUCAACGAACCAAGUUACCCCAGGGAUAACAGCGCAAUCCCCUUCAAGAGUUCAUAUCGACAGGGGGGUUUACGACCUCGAUGUUGGAUCAGGACACCCAGAUGGUGCAGCCGCUAUCAAAGGUUCGUUUGUUCAACGAUUAAUAGUCCUACGUGAUCUGAGU